Long non-coding RNA from Myotis daubentonii (Daubenton's bat), 12786 nucleotides. RefSeq lists it as uncharacterized. The record is from RefSeq and is a predicted model, not a curated record. The transcript has 3 exons. Lineage: Eukaryota; Metazoa; Chordata; Mammalia; Chiroptera; Vespertilionidae.
GAGAGAGAGAGAGAGAGAGAGAAACAUCAAUGUGAGAGAGACACUUCAACUGGUUGCCUCCUGCACGCACCCCAACUGGGAGGCGAGGAGCAAACCCACAACCCAGGUGCAUGCCCUUGACCAGGAAUCAAACCCAUGACCCUUGGGUCCAUGGGCUGACGCUCUAACCCAGUGAUGGCGAAUCUAUGACACGCGUGUCAGAGGUGACACGUGAACUCAUUUUUUUGGUUGAUUUUUCUUUGUUAAAUGGCAUUUAAAUAUAUAAAAUAAAUAUCAAAAAUAUAAAUCUUUGUUUUACUAUGGUUGCAAAUAUCAAAAAAUUUCUAUAUGUGACACGGCACCAGAGUUAAGUUAGGGUUUUUCAAAAUGCUGACACGCCGAGCUCAAAAGGUUCGCCAUCACUGCUCUAACCACUGAACAACCAGCUAGGGUUUUACUGCAAUCUCUUAAGGAAACUAGAAUGUGGCAAAUCUGAGAUGCUGAUAUAUCAGCUAGGCCUUGAGGGAUGGAGAAAAAUGGGAGAGGUGUUCCAGGCGAAGAGACUAGCUAUGAUGGAUGCAGAGGGACACAGUGCCUCCUAGGUCCUCAGAAUGGCCAGUGAGUAUGGGAUGAAGUAAAGGCUGGCAGUGAUUAAAGAGAGACCAGAAAGGAAGACAAGAGCCAGCCAGUAUAUGCAAGGUCUGGAACAUAGACGAGGGAGGUAGCCUCCAGGUGGCACCACCCAAAGCUCAGGAUGGAGAAGUGGUGUGAUGGGAUCACUCUGGCAACUUACAAAGGGUGGGAGGGAGACCAGUUGGCACAACAGCAGGCCCUGGGAGAGACAUCUGGGCCAGAGAGAGGCCGAGGAUGAGGGCUGGUACAUCUGAGCCCUGUGCCCUGUGUGCUAUGUUCUCAGGCCUGGGGCCAGCGUUGGAGGGGCUCCCACACACCUUACGCAAGAGACCCUUCCAGCGGUCCUGUCCUGCCUGGCUGGUCACCCCCAGACCCAGCCCAGCCACUCAAUACUGUUCCCCCAGCAUUUGAGCUGAGGUCAGAAUCCCCCCAGCUGUUGGCAGGGCCACCCUCCGCUGCCUUCACCCACAGGGCGACAUUUCCCAUUUAUGUCCAAGCCAAAGGGUAUUUAUAGCCACCACCAAAUAGGAAGAACAAACAAAAAAGAAGCAAAGUUUUAGACUCAAACAACAUGAAAUAUAUUUCAAUAAAAAUUUUUUAACCGAGCAAUGUCAAUUUUUACCAAAAGAUUUUAGGAGUCUGGGCUGCUUGGGUUUACCAGGAAGCUGAUGCUGAGAUGGAGAUAGGAAUGUAGGAUGACUUAUGGGGGAAGGGGGUAACACCUGGGAAAGAGGAGGACGAGAAUAGACUUGUACCACCAUCUGUUUCAAUCAUUGGCCAAGGCCACCUCAACAAGAGCAUAAAAGCCCUGGCCGGUGUUUCUCAGUGGUUAGAAUGCCGGCCCGAGCACCAAAGGCUUGCAGGUUUGAUUCCCUGUCAAGGGCAUGUACCUCCGUUGCAAGUCCAUGUCUCUCUCACAUCAAUGUUUCUCUCUCUCUCUCUCUCUCCCCCUCCCUCCUUCCCUUCCACUCUCUCGGAAAAGCAAUGGGAAAAAUAUUCUCAGGUGAGGAUUUAAAAAAAAAAAAAAAAGCGUAAAUGUGGUUCCAAAGCUGAGUGGACCCUCCAGGAGCCAACAGCUGUAGACUACCAGCUGACCACAGCCUUGCAGCUGGACAGUCCUUUCUUGGAGAGAAAUCUUUGUGUCUUCCAUGGAGCCCUUCCUCCUCCAGCCUCAGCUUGAGUGGGCCACACCUGGUGUGCUUGAAUCCUAAGGAGUCCCCUGCACUUUCUCCAUCACCUUCCUUCCCUCCUGCCUCACUCGGCAGAAGGUAUCUCUCUCCAGAAUCUGUUCUGAGUUCUCCCUCCCUCCACUUCCCAACCCUGAAGCCUUUUCCUUCACUUACCUCCUCACAAUACUAUGUCCCAAACUCGCCACAAGCAAAAUUAGAAUAUGGAUGACUACCUGGGAAAAGAUCUGUGUAACUUGAAUCACUAAGGACUCAUCUUCCUAAGAUAUAAAAAGCUCAACACAAAUCACAGAUAUAACCAAAGAGAAAAGUGAGCAAAAGAUAUAAAUGAGUGGGCUAUGGACAAGGAAAUAAGAUGGCCCUUAGAUGAAAGAUGCUCAACCUGACUCAUAGUUUAAAAAAACCCAAGUUAAAACGACACAGAGAUAUCAUGUUCACCUAUCAGAUUGGCAAAGAUCAAAAAGUUUGACUCAGCGCAGCGUUGGCGGGGAAUCAAGCACACUCACACGCUGCUGGUGGGAACGGCAACUGGGAAAGCUUGUAUGGAGGACAAUUUGGCAAUGUCCCUCUAAGUUACAAAUUCCCUCGAUCUUCAAAAGGCGAUAGAAUGCAAUGGUUAAGAGAAUGGACUGGAGCCAGAGCACCUUGGUCGGAACCUCAGCUGUCCAAGUCAUCUAACGUCUCCCUGCCUCAGUUUUUCUCAUCUGUAAAAUGGGAUGAUAAUAGUACCCACCUCUGGAGAAUCCUGUAAGGAUUAAAAUACAUUAAUUAUUGUAAAGCACUUACCACGCUGCCCAGCCCUUAGUAAAUGCCAUGCAAAUGUUAACUAUCAUCAUUAUUAAUUGACCCAGCAAUUCCACUGCUAGGAAUUUACCCUACGGGUAUGUUUGCACAUGUGUUAAAUGAGUUUACAAUGUUAUUCAUUACAGCAUUGAUGCAACAGGGGAGAAAACUGGAAAUAAUCCAAAUGUCCAUAAACAGGCUAAAUUCAUUGUGAUGCCUGUACCUAAUAGAAUGACACACACACACACACAAAAGCUCUUUAGUACUGAUCCAAUGUGUACAGAAUACUACCAUAAGUUUUAAAUAAGGAGUAGUAUAAACACAAGUCCACAUUCCCUUAUCCACAGUUACGAAAUUGAAAAAUCUCUAAAAGAACAGAAGUUUAAAAAAAAAAAAAUUUUUUUUUUUUUUUUUUGGCCCAAACAACAUUUGGUAGCAAAACCUGAAUUUAACCGAACUGACUUCAGGCUGAUUACAGCUUUAUUUACCCUAAAUAAUUGUGCAGAAAUAUUAGCGUGUGUUAUCACAGUCCCUGCUGAGGUGUGACAUAUACACACACUGCCUUUGUUGUUUCAGGAGUAGAGGGUGCUGUCUCAUCACAGGGCUUUCCAGGUAAGAAAGAUAAAGAAAGAUAAAGUUUGUGCACAAAAAAGGCAGCAGUGGUUCAAUACAGCCUCUGCUGCAGAGGGCGGGCCCCACCCCCAUGUGCUCGUCCGCCUGUCACAAUCACCCAGCAACAGCCACCUGCGGAAUGGAAGUUCCCCCGCGGCCCUACCUUUGUACACACGUUGAAUUCCGAAUUCCCAAACACACCUGCCCCCAAAGGUUCCCGAUAAGGAACUGUGGGCCUUUAUCUGCCUUUUUUGUUUGUGUUUUCCCAUUAAAACACCCCUUUAAGGAAACUGGCUCCCGUAGCCUCUAAUGGAAGAAGCUGCCUGGCUGUGUGACAGGAACGUGAGAAACCAUCUCACUGUAUUUGAAUCCAAGAACUUUGAAGAGUCUAUGGAUGUCUUACUCAUUCUGGAAAAAAAAUAAGUACCCCUGAGGACCUGCUCAGCCCAGCUGUCGGGUCGUGUUCAAGCCUGAAUGCCCGCUCAUGGGCAUCUCCGUGCCAGGCAGCCUGGGAACUUCAACCUGGGAACCAGGGCUCCAGGGUGGGGGCCGGUAGGACCGGAGCCUCAUCACUGACUCACGUGCUGCCCUGGGCACGGUGGCGAGGCCUCCUCCCUAGAAGAGUGGAGAUAAUGAGAGUGACUAAGUGGCGAGCACUCUGAUGGGCCGAUUGGUGGGGAAGCCAGGUUUCCUCAGCAGCACCGUCUGCACACCUUUCCCCUCUGGGAGGGCGAGAGCCACGCUCCACAGGCCUCCUCGGCUCCGCUCCCAACAGAGACCCGGUGGGAGGAUGCAUCUGUGAGCAUAGGGCCUGCAGAUUGAGGGGUGGAGAGCAGGGUUCCGGAAACCAAACCCACUGAGCCCCGCCCACCAGGCUCAUCUAGCUUUCCUUAUUCAUCAUUAAGGAAAAUUUAUCACUAGUAAAGUUCUAUUUCAUUCUUUUUAAUGACUGUAUAGCAUUCCUACAUAUGGAUGUACCAUAACGUGCACAGCCAUUUACCUGUGACUGGACAUUCAAUUCUAAUUUUUGGACACUAUGGAAACGCCACAAAAAUUAUCAUUAUUUGGAACAAAUAUUUGAGAACAGAUGAUAAGGAAUGGAUUGGUGGUCCAAAUAUACUUAUACAUAUGUAAUGUGUAUGUUAUACUUAAUUUUACAUAAUAAUUUUAAUUGAUGUUGCCAGAUUGGUUUUUAAAGACUAUGAAAUGUACAUUUUUAUAAACAAUGUAGUAUAUGAAUAUCCCUUUCUCUGUGUGUCCACUAGCAAUAGGUAUUACCAAUCCUUUUCAUUUUUUUCACUAACUUCUAGUGAUUUUUUUCAUAUUUUUUGGCUCUUUGAAACUGCUCUUCCAUAAGUCGCCGAUAUUUCUAUUGGUUAAAUAAUCUUUUUCCUGUCAAUUUGUAAAAGUUUUUUCCACCUUUUGUUCAGAUUUAUAAAUACAGUUUCCAAAUCUCUUGAUUUGUUGUCAUUGUGUUAUCUUUUGCCACAAAAAUUUUAAAAGUUUGCCCUGGCCAGGUGGCUCAGUUGGUUGGAGCAUCAACCUGUUCACCAAAAAGUCUUGGGUUUGAUUCCUGAUGAGGACACAUACUUAGAUUUCGGGUUCAGUCCCAGGUCAGGGCAGGGCAGGUAUAGGAGGCAACCCAUAGAUGUUUGUCUCUCACAUCGAUGUUUCUCUCUCUCUCACUCUCUUCUUGCUCUCUCUCUAAAAUCAAUUUUUAAAAACAACAGCAUAUCCUCGGAUGAUGAUAAAAUAUAAAAUAAGAAGUUUAAAAGUUUAAUCUAGUCAAAUAUGUUCAUUUUUUCUUUCAUUGCUUCUGGGUAUUUGUUAAAGCUUUGCCCCACCUCAAGUCUUCAUGGCCCAAGAAGGCUGCCAGUGCUCUAGCCAUCACAUCUGUAUUACUGGCAGCAGGAUGAAGAAAUGGACAAGAAGAGCGCCCCACCUCCCUUGAAAGAAACUUAAAUAGAAAUUUCCACAUGAGAAUUCUACUGACAUGUCUUUGGUCAUAACUCAGUUCCACAGCCAGAGCUAGCUGCAAGGAAAAUACUACCACGGCUGCCUUUGGGAUAUGCAAUCUGCCACACCGAUGCGUAGAACCGAGGCCACGCUUGCUUUGUGGCAUUCAGUAGACAAGCAGAGACCACAUACUGCUGAGGGCAACUGGAACCUGGAAACCCAUCUCUUAGGAGAGAAAAGGCCUCUAUUUUGUCCCCCACAGGCAUUACGCUUAAGACCAUAGCCUACUAAGUCACAGAGAGGGCACUCAGGAGGGUCUCAGCUCUGAGGCUGUGGAAUGCAAGCACAGCCCAGAGUAGCCACAGGUCCAGGGGUGGCACCUCCGCCUUGGGUCCCUCUCCUGGCGUCUUCCCCAUGGAGGGGCAAAGGUUUGUGGCUGGGUGGGAAUAGUUAAGCCUGCUGGCAUGCAGGGCUGAUGGCUUCUGAACUCUGGGAAGAACCACCAGGCAUUUCCAGGCAGGUGGAGGCUUUAGGGGAUGAUUCAUGCCAGUCUGCGGAGUGUGUCUGCGUCAGAGAGAAAAACACAACAUUGCAAAUACUUUCUCAGUCACUCAGAAGCCCGCUCGUCAUUCACCGAGGGCCCAAAGAGAGGCCAGCCACAUCUGUCCAGGUAUUUCUUGCAGGUUUUCUUCUGACAGUUCUGCUCUCGGGUGAGAAAAGCACCAAAUGGAAGAGGUAGGUCAAGGGAGGACAGCUGGCCAUGAAGAAGAGAGACCUCGAAGGUUCAUCUUGGAAGAAGCUGGAAGCAAAAGCCAGCAUGCCAUGCUCUGGGCGAUGUGGAUCCCAGCAGGAUGGCCUGCAGGCACAGGCCCAUCCCACCAGGCCCAGAUGGCUACUCUUUUUUUUUCUUCUUUAGUCCGUGGGUCUGUUUAUUGAUUUUAGGGAGAGAAAGUGUGAAAGAGAAAAAGAGAGAGAGAAACAUCAAUGUGAGAGAUAAACAUCAAUCGGUUGCCUCCCAAACAUGUCCCAACCUUGGAUCAAACCCACAAUUUAGGUAUUUGCCCUGACCGACUGGGAAUCAAACCCACAACCUUUUAGUGUCCGGGCCAGUCCUCCAACCAGCUGGCAACUCUUCUCCGAGCGCCUCCACCUCGCUGAGCCUUGGCUUCUCCUUUCUAAAGGGGGGUGGCCAUCCUGGCCCUGCCUCCUGGCCAGUGUGAGAAGGGUUGCUCUGGACAGUCCUCCGGGCUCUCAUAGGUCAGAAAGCUCAUGGUCAGCUCUGCCGCGGACGAGUGUGCUCUGCUACGCUUCUCUUGUGUGUGUGUGUGUGUGUGUGUGUGUUUAAAAUAACUUUAAUAAAAUUAUAUAAGCAUUACAUGUUCACUGUUAAAAUAAUCAGGAAACACAAACAAGAAAAAGGCAAUACGAGAGAGAAAAGAGCUUUUACAUCUCUGCAUAUGCUCUUACAGUUUCUAAUACCCAAAUAUAUUUUCAAUAGGAACUUACUUUAUGUAUGGUUGUGUCCUCUCGUUUUUCACUCAAAUAUAUGCCAUGAGUUUCUUUCUGUCAACAAGCAAAUGUCCACGACGUAUUGUAAUGCUUCUAUGGUCACAUUCUCUCAAAGCCGUAUUCAGUUCUGAACAUAGGACCAGUAUUACUCAUUUUUCCUUUGCCGCAGGUCCCGAUAGGCCUCGCAUAGAACUGCUACUGAUCCUGUCUUUAUUUAAAAUUUUGCUGUUUUGUUCACCAUGGGUUGAUUUUUAUUUGCUAAAAUGUUACUUAUCUUGAUUACAGAAUUUCUUGGUACCCCUUAUGGUCUUCAUCCUAGGCAAGUACCUCACUUGCUUUCACCCUCGUCCCAGUCCUGAGUCAUGCGAGUAGUUCAUACGUUCUGUGUCUAACUGUUAGGAUCCUAAGGUUGUUUCCAUUUUUUUCCAGUUUAUUUGUCUCUGGAUUUCCAGCACCGUGCCCAACACCUGGUAUGUACUUGAUCAACAUUUAUCAAAUAAGUGCAGGAACGAACGAAUGAAUGAAUCGGUGAAAUAAAGAAACACUACGAUGAUCGUUCUUGUGGGCAGUGGGUGUCAGGAGAGAAGGGCAAGAGGCGGGAGCCACAUUGUCCAGGAAAGCAACUACCCCCUUCUGCCACACAGAGCUCAGGAAAGGGGGCAGCCCAGGCAGGCGGGCACGGGCAGCUUUCUGGUGGCCUGGGUGUCCUCUCAGUGCACGCACCGCACAGGCCCACCUGACGGUCCCUUUGGAGGUUCCACCACUUCCUAACGGAGCCAUCAUUACUCUAGCCUGGCCCUGGCCCUGGCCCAGGCAGCUGAAACCAAAACAUUGCCACGUCCCCACGGUGGGACUAGGACAGCUCAUGCAGAGGCGCACACGCCCAGCCCCGAGAGCCUCCCUCACACAGGCUGACUCAGGAGCUGCUUGGACACUGGGCUGCAGGCUCAUGGGCCGGGGCUUUAGGCCUGGGCCCCAGUGUGCAGCUGCCUCUCUCCACGGCAACAGCAACAGGGAUUUUCCCAGCCCAGCCAAUGUGUGGAAUUUUAACAUAACAAAGCCGGAAUCCAAGAGAGGAAAUUCUAAGAACAUGAAAUAAGUCAGAGGAGCAGAGGGGGGGGGGGGGUGUUUAUUUUCCAUCCACUGCCUGGUCUCCUCCCUCCCCCUCCAACCUCCACCCCAAAGGGGAGGGUGGGGGGAAGGGGUCCGGAUUCAGUUGUCAGCACCACAAAUCUAAAGGAAACCCAUCUUCCUGUGUUUGCCAAGGAACAAUGCUGGAGAGGACAUCCAAGGCCUGCACUUUUCCUCUGCACAGAAGAAUUUAGGUCCAGUGCAUUCCUGGGAGGGGGGCCGGACAAGGAAUGCCUGGAUGUAAACAGUCCUGUCCCUUCACUCAGGAUCAUUCGGGACACACAGGUGGGGACAUGUAGGACACCUGGUGGCCUUCUGUGAUCAGAUCCACACUCCCCACACCAGGUAAGGAUCUGACUGUGGACUUGGAGCCAUGGUCCCACCUUGCAUCCAAGCAGCUAAAACAUUUGGUCCCAUCUGCUGCCUCAGUGUCUAUCUCCCAUCACUGUUUUCUCCUCUCCCUUCCUCAGCUCUUAUCAGCUUCUAUCACUCCUUUCCUGGACGAUGGCCCAAUUCCAGCCUUCCUGGCCCUGACCCUCCCUGCUUCAUUCAUUCAGGACCUUACGAUAGCCAAUCACACCACUUUCAUCUCCAGCAUGCUCCCCUCCUCAACCAGGGAGGGACAAAACAACAGGAAGUUCCAUGAUUGUGUCCACCUCCUCCCCCAAGCACCCCCUCAGGGAUGUAGAACUGGACAGCUGCCCUUUUCAGGGGUAGAAAUGGCUCCUUUAAGGGGGAAGAUAAAGAGUCCGAGAAUCGCCCUAGCUGGUUCUCUCUCAUCAUUGAUGUUUCUCUCUCCCCCCCUUCUUUCCUCUCUGAAACCAAUUAAAAAAAUAUUUUUUUUUUAAAAAAAGAGUCUGAAAAUCAGGCCAAGUGUUGAGACCAGUCAGUGUUUACUGAGCACCUGUUAGGUACCAGGCGCCAUGCCCAAUGCUAUGGGCCUUACCUCUCAGUCUACACAGUCUCCAAAGCAUUAUGCCGGGUCCCGAUCCUUCCUCCUUACCCUCCUCACAGGCCCACUCCUGUGCCUCCUGCAGAAUGGGCUUCAUAAUCGACCAAGAUCAUGGAAUCGACUGAGGUGGGCACCAUGAUCCCUGCUGUGAUGCAGCUGGCCACCUGGCAGUGACACCUGGGAAGCCAAUAACGAAACAAGGCAUGCCUGGAACUUGCAUUGCUCACCAUCAGGAAGGGCUGUGAAUGCUGCCAGGAAAGGUGGGAAAGCAGAAGCCAGACUCUCAUUGGCCACGUACCUUACGUACCUUCUUGGCUGCAGGAAGAGGUGAGGAGUCGGGAGAGCUGGCUCGGAGGUGGGGUUUGAUAGCUGGUUCGCCUUGCUUGCUGGAUUUCUCAGCCUCUAGGAGGAAGAAAACACAGCGGUCCCUCCUGCCUGGCAGGGUGCACAUCUGGAGGUGGGCCCAGAGUGACAAGGUGGCAAGAGGCCAUGCGGCCCUGGUUUGAGGUUGCAACCCUGACGCCAGGUUUGCCUCCUCCCCGUGACACAGAAAAUGGACAUUCUAGAUGUUUCUCACCGCCCUGACAUUCCUCAAAUGGCUGCCAGGGCUCUGCCUCAGCGGGGUACCAGGGCGCUUGAGGUGAUAAUGACUUAAGUUAGACACAAGAGUGAUGAGCCUGUCCAUUUUCCAAACGUUUACUGAACCCAGGCCCUACCUCCAAGAGACUUCCUGUCCAGGGAGGCAGACACCCAACCGGGGCCGUAUAAGGCAGAGUGAUAAGUGACAAGAUAGAGGCAGGCCCAGAGACCCUGGGAGCACUGGGGAGUGGUGCCUGCCCAGCCUGGGACGGCGUGUGGGCACAAUGGCUCCUGUGGAAGGGGCUGUUCUCCAGCGAAGCCCUGAGAGAGUUGUGACUGACCAGGGGGUCGGGGGCAGGAGACGGAGCUCUGAUUCCUGCCUGCGCUCUUUAGUGUCUGAGGCCAACAUGCCAUUGUGCUGAUCUUUUGCUACAGGAUCUCUGUGGAUUUUGUUGGUCAUGUGGCUGGAUGGGCUAGCCUUUAAGUUGAGUUGUAAAGUCAUUCUCUGAAGAUGAGUGGGAUUCUGAUUCCUACUGGGCCCAGGUGGGAUCUGGUUUCAGGGAUGAAUUUGCCCCAGAAAUUCACCUCCUUCCCCUGGAGUUACUUCAGGCCAGGAUCCUCUUCAUUGAUGUGUGGAGCCUCAUCUCACAACCCUGAGUGUCCAGUUGUGUGCGGGAGGACUGGGCAGGGAGGCUCAGGUCCCACCUGCUGCUAACACUCUCACACACUUAGGUGAAUGGCUGCCCCUCUCCCCCCAACCCCCCACUGAGCCCCUCAGUCCACCCUUGUGCUUCAAAUCAAUAGAAGGCUGCCAGGCCUUACUUUUCCCAUGUUAAAAAAAAAUAAAUUGAGGUAAGAAACUCUUUAAAAAAAACUAUAGUUUUUAAAAGUAUCAUUAUACAAAGUAAUGUUUCUUAAAAUUCUGAGUGUGCUUCAGAAUGACCAGUUGGUAGGGGAAAGGUUUGUUUAAAAUGCAUUUUCCUCGGCCCACUCUGAGUGAGGAGGUUGCAGAUGGGGCCCAGGAAUCUGCAUGUUUAAAGUUAUUCUACGGACUCUGAUGCCCUCGGUCUUUGGAAGGCACUUUGGCAAGAAGUGACACGGAGGACCUUACGUCUGAACUCAACCAUCUUGCACACCCCAAUUUGGAGACCACUGACCUAACCGGAGCCUCCACCCCAGGGGCCCACAUCUCUGAAAGCCAGCCUUCCUCUCUCAGGAAGGGGACCCAGCAGUUAGCCAAGCCCCUGCAUACCAGGCAGGCAGGCCCCUACAACAGGAUCAAUGCUGACAGCACAGAAAAAUCAUGGCCCGGUUCAGAUUGCUACUGUGGCAUCUGCAAUUGCCAAGCUCCCCCAUACCCCGUCUUGUCAGGUUGGAGGGCACGCAGACUGAAUGAAGACUGUGCUGAGGACCUUGGGAAGAUGGGGAGGGCCGCAUAGGGUUGGAGGACUCCCUUAGGGUCUCUGGUUCAAGCAGGGGCUGCAUUCUCAGAGGGCAGCCAGGUUCCUGGGUUGAGCAUGGGGAAACAGCGGCCCCUGGUGGCUCAGACACGUCCUGCCUCAGAACCUCAGCACCCCUUCUGCUUUCAGGGUUUCUGCUUUCUUGCUAGGUUGAAAAAUAAUAGUGCUACAGUGUUAGAACUCUCCUGCAAAGUCCGGUAUAGCUUUUCAGCUUGAGGGUGGGCUGCAGCGGGAGAGAAGGACUGGGAACCACCCACCGUAAAAAUAAAGCUUCAGUGGAGACAUUGUGAGGUCAGACGACAGACUCCUAAAGUUCCAGUCCCGGAUUGCCGUGGACUGUUCUCCCCUUUCCAGGCCCCAGCCUUUUCCUGCCUCUCGUCUCUCCCUGACACCCUGGUCCUGCCUUUCCUGGCUCUGCCCUCAAAACUCAAGAAGGAGAGAAACAAAGGAAGGGGCCAAUCCGUGGAAAAGGGCUCUUCCAAAUUCAAGUCCUUUAAAAUUCCUUUGGGAGCGUUUAGAAGGCCUUUGUUAAAGGUACAUAUCAAUCUAAGUAAUAACAACAAUAAUAAUCUCCAGGAAAAUCAUAAUGAACAUUUUUUAUUGAUUGAUUUUAGAAAGAGAGGAAGGGGGAGAUAGAGAAAGAAACAACAAUUUGUUGUCCUACUUACUUUUUCAUUCAUUGGUUGAUUCUUGUAUGUGCCCUGACCAGGGAUAGAACCCACAACCGUGGCAUAUCAGUAUGAUGCUCUAACCAUCUGUGCUACCUGGCCAGGGCUCAUCAUGAACUUUUUGACUCAGCCAUGAACUACACUCACAUAUUAAUCCCCCACCCCCAAAUAACUAAUAAUUUAACGGGAAAUUGGGACAUAACUGCGACAGUAGAAUGGAGAGAAGGGCAGUGGGGGCAUGGAGGUAGUAUUAGUGCUAAAUCUUCAUCUCCCAUAAAAGGAAGUCAAAGAUAAUGCCUAGUAUUAAGAAUGACAGAAAUUCGCAGCAAAAAAAAGAGAAAAAAGCUAAAAAGUUUAAUAAUGGGUAUCAGGAGUAAGACAUUGCAGAACAGUGCUAUCUGUAAACCGUAUAAACCAUACUUUAUUCACAAUGUCACUCUCAUGCACUACUUUGAUUUUUUUAAAAACCACAGUCAUCUGAAAGUGGUGUAAAAGCAAGAGAAAUGUCAGAGGCAGUGUUGAGAAACAUUUCCGUUAAGGCAGAGGGAAAAGACCACCAGAUGGAAGAUGUGAGAUAAAAACAAAAUGACACGAGGACAAAUCCAGAUGUCUGGAUGCAGGGGAACAGCAGAGGCGAGGGGAGAGGGAACCAUUGAGGAAGUGACCGGAGGACAUUUUCCUGAGGCAAAGAAAGACACGGGUCAUUGGGGAAAGAUCCCUUGAGGCCAAGAACAGGAAAAAGAAAUCCAGAUGGCCAAUAAACAGAAGAAACAAUACCAAGCCAUACAUCCAGCUGAAGAAAUACACAUGAAAACACCAAUAUUUUCAUCUACAUUGGCAAUACUUAGAAAGCUUGAACCUUUAUUAUCUGUAUUAUCUUUUUAAAAAGAUUUGCUUUUCAUAGAUAGUAUUCACUAUAUGCUGGUAUAAACAUUUUUUCCCCUGGGUGGAUGGAUAACCAAUGAGCCAAUGUAGAUGGGCAGAGGGACUGACUGUAGGUGAGGACAAAAAAGAGUGAUACUUUUCAUGUUUCACCCUUUGCGUGAUAUUGUGUAAUUUUAUGCUUUAAAAGUGUUAAUUGGAAUAAAAUGUUAAUUGGGUGGUGACAUUAUUGCCAUCUUUGUUUUCCUCAUAAUACAUUUUGGUAUUAAAUCAAAUAAAUGGUCCUGACCGGUUUGGCUCAGUGGCUAGAGCGUUGGCCUGCGGACUGAAGGGUCCCAGGUUUGAUUCUGGUCAAGGACAUGUACCUUGGUUGCACACACAUCCCCAGUAGGGAGUGUGCAGGAGGCAGCUGAUCGAUGUUUCUCUCUCAUCGAUGUUUCUAACUUUCUAUCCCU